GACGAACGCUGGCGGCGUGCUUAACACAUGCAAGUCGAACGGAAAGGCCCUGCUUUUGUGGUGUUCUCGAGUGGCGAACGCGUGCGUAACACGUGAGUAACCUGCCCUUGACUUUGGGAUAACUUCAGGAAACUGGGGCUGAUACCGGAUAGGAGCUCCUGCUCCAUGGUGGGCGUUGGAAAGUUUCGGCGGUUGGGGAUGGACUCGCGGCUUAUCAGCUUGUUGGUGGGGUAGUGGCUUACCAAGGCUUUGACGGGUAGCCGGCCUGAGAGGGUGACCGGCCACAUUGGGACUGAGAUACGGCCCAGACUCCUACGGGAGGCAGCAGUGGGGAAUAUUGCACAAUGGGCGGAAGCCUGAUGCAGCAACGCCGCGUGCGGGAUGACGGCCUUCGGGUUGUAAACCGCUUUCGCCUGUGACGAAGCGUGAGUGACGGUAAUGGGUAAAGAAGCACCGGCUAACUACGUG
RNAcentral lists this ribosomal RNA (468 nucleotides) under uncultured bacterium. RNAcentral describes it as "partial 16S ribosomal RNA". It matches the Rfam family "Bacterial small subunit ribosomal RNA", at positions 28 to 507 of the family's 1533-position model. The record is from RNAcentral.